AGCGAACGUUUGCGGCGGGCUUAACACAUGCAAGUCGAACGAGAAUCUCCGCUUCGGUGGAGAGGAAAGUGGCGCACGGGUGCGUAACACGUGGGUAACCAACCCUCUAGACUGGAACAACUCGGGGAAACUCGGGCUAAUACCGGAUGUGGCAACGGAGUCUUCGGGCUCUGUUGUGAAAGGAGCAAUCCGCUAGAGGACGGGCCCGCGGCCCAUCAGGUAGUUGGAGGGGUAAUGGCCCACCAAGCCGAAGACGGGUAGCUGGUCUGAGAGGAUGAUCAGUCACACUGGAACUGAGACACGGUCCAGACUCCUACGGGAGGCAGCAGUGGGGAAUAUUGCGCAAUGGGCGAAAGCCUGACGCAGCCACGCCGCGUGAGCGAUGAAGGCCUUAGGGUCGUAAAGCUCUGUGGAGAGAGAAGAAGCCUGACGGUAUCUCUUUAGCAAGCACCGGCUAACUCCG
RNAcentral lists this ribosomal RNA (463 nucleotides) under uncultured Plesiocystis sp. RNAcentral describes it as "bacterial SSU rRNA". It matches the Rfam family "Bacterial small subunit ribosomal RNA", at positions 29 to 505 of the family's 1533-position model. Lineage: Bacteria; Pseudomonadati; Myxococcota; Nannocystales; Nannocystaceae. The record is from RNAcentral.